This 299-nucleotide signal recognition particle RNA is filed under the name Bos indicus x Bos taurus (hybrid cattle). RNAcentral's name for it is "Metazoan signal recognition particle RNA (ENSBIXG00005025159.1)". It matches the Rfam family "Metazoan signal recognition particle RNA". From Rfam's summary of the family: The signal recognition particle (SRP) is a universally conserved ribonucleoprotein. Lineage: Eukaryota; Metazoa; Chordata; Mammalia; Artiodactyla; Bovidae. The record is from RNAcentral.
GCCGGGCGCGGUGGCGCGCGCCUGUAAUCCCAGCUACUCGGGAGGCUGAGGCUGGAGGAUCGCUUGAGCUCAGGAGUUCUGGGCUGCAGUGCGCUAUGCCGAUCGGGUGUCCGCACUAAGUUCGGCAUCAAUAUGGUGACCUCCCGGGAGCGGGGGGCCACCAGGUUGCCUAAGGAGGGGUGAACCGGCCCAGGUCGGAAACGGAGCAGGUCAAAACUCCCGUGCUGAUCAGUAGUGGGAUCGCGCCUGUGAAUAGCCACUGUACUCCAGCCUGGGUAAUAUAGCGAGACCCUGUCUCU